This 484-nucleotide ribosomal RNA is filed under the name uncultured bacterium. Its description in RNAcentral is "partial 16S ribosomal RNA". It matches the Rfam family "Bacterial small subunit ribosomal RNA", at positions 30 to 507 of the family's 1533-position model. The record is from RNAcentral.
AUUGAACGCUGGCGGCAGGCCUAACACAUGCAAGUCGAGCGGAGUAAGGGAGCUUGCUCCUGGAUUCAGCGGCGGACGGGUGAGUAAUGCCUAGGAAUCUGCCUGGUAGUGGGGGAUAACGUCCGGAAACGGGCGCUAAUACCGCAUACGUCCUGAGGGAGAAAGUAGGGGAUCUUCGGACCUCACGCUAUCAGAUGAGCCUAGGUCGGAUUAGCUAGUUGGUGGGGUAAAGGCCUCCCAAGGGAACGAUCCUUAACUGGUUUGAGAGGAUAUUCAGUCACACUGGACCUAGAACACGGUCAAGCCUCCUACGGGAGGCAGAAGUGGGGAAAAUUGGACAAUGGGCGAAAGCCUGAUCCAGCCAUGCGGCGUGUGUGAAGAAGGUCUUCGGAUUGAAAAGCACUUUAAGUUGGGAGGAAGGUAAGUAAGUAAAUACCUUGCUGUUUUGACGUUACCAACAGAAUAAGCACCGGCUAACUCCGUG